This is a long non-coding RNA of Phyllopteryx taeniolatus (common seadragon), 1120 nucleotides long. RefSeq lists it as uncharacterized. NCBI's taxonomy places the organism in Eukaryota, Metazoa, Chordata, Actinopteri, Syngnathiformes, Syngnathidae. The record is from RefSeq and is a predicted model, not a curated record. The transcript has 3 exons.
UGAAUAGCAUCCUCCUCUUUAGGCACUCUCAUUCUGGAAAAUAAUUGACUAAAAUCAUUGUCUGUUUCACUUCAAUUUUCGCUAUUACCAACUUCAAAGGCGAAUCCCAAAUGCAUCCUCCAGGAAAAAAGUACAAUAUUUUACAGUUUUUGUCCAUUUCUGAAUUUGAAGUUAGUUCAUUCUGUGUUGUGACAAUCCCUAACAUCGCUCCGUCGCUUAAUACAUUUAACAUUAACAUCCGUAAACUAAAUAAUUGUAGCAGUGUUCCCUAAUUAAUACCAGAUGUACUACCGGAUCAACUCUCGUCGCCAACAUUACGUGUGCUUCGCGGUUCCGCUGGGACCACAACUAGGGCCGUGACCCGCAACACCUCAACGCGAAAACACAAAAGACCAGUGCAACAAAUACGACACGGGCUGAUCUGAUGAGCAAAAAUGUUGCUUAAACGUAAGAGUAACAACGUAAGAGGAUGUCCGCUCCAGAGGGUCAUUGUCUUGUUGCAAAGCACUCUGGAGAAGGUUUUCGUCCAGGAUAUCCCUGUAAUUGGCCGCAUUCAUCUUUCCUUCGAUUGCAACCGUCCUGUCCCUGCAGCUGAAAAACACCCCCACAACAUGAUGGUGCCAGCACAAUGCUUCACUGUUGGGACUGUAUUGAACAGGUGAUGAGCAGUGCCUGGUUUUCUCCACACAUACCGCUUAGAAUUCAGGCCAAAAAGUUCUAUCUUGGUCUCAUCAGACCCGAGAAUCUUAUUUCUCACCAUCUUGGAGUCCUUCAGGUGUUUUUUAGGAAACUCCAUGCAGGCUUUCAUGUGUCUUGCACUGAGGAGAGGCUUCCGUCGGGCUACUCUGCCAUAACUCCCUGACUGGUGGAGGGCUGCAGUGAUGGUUGACUUUGUCAACAACAGCUUUGUCAUACAGCUCUUAAAUUGUGACUGGCCAAACUUGGAUAUUUCAGCCCACUUCUAACUUGAGAAAACACCUUGCGGUACCUAUCAAAUUGUAUACCUGGAGGAGUCGGCGUCUUUUGUUGCUUGACCAAAGUGGACUUUGCCGUUUUGAAUGUGUCAAGUUGAGCAUCCCGUCGAGUCCGAGGAGGACGUUCCUCAGACUGCGCAGCGACC